AGCUCUUUCAGCACGUGUCUUGGCGGUCAUCCGGCCCAGUCUCUACCCAUCAUUUUCAGGUUGACCUCGGAUCAGGUAGGAAUACCCGCUGAACUUAAGCAUAUCAAUAAGCGGAGGAAAAGAAACCAACAGGGAUUACCUCAGUAACGGCGAGUGAAGCGGUAACAGCUCAAAUUUGAAAUCUGGCCCUUGCGGGUCCGAGUUGUAAUUUGUAGAGGAUGUUUCGGGCAAGGCUCUGGUUUAAAUUUCUUGGAACAGAAUGUCACAGAGGGUGAGAGUCCCGUCUAGAACCGACCGCCGCGUCCACGUGAAACUCCUUCGACGAGUCGAGUUGUUUGGGAAUGCAGCUCAAAACGGGUGGUAAAUUUCAUCUAAAGCUAAAUAUUGGCCAGAGACCGAUAGCGCACAAGUAGAGUGAUCGAAAGAUGAAAAGCACUUUGAAAAGAGAGUUAAACAGUAUGUGAAAUUGUUGAAAGGGAAGCGCUUACAACCAGACUUGUGUUUCACGGUUCCCCCGGUCUUCUGACCGGGCUAUUCCGUGUGAUCCAGGCCAGCAUCGGUUUAGACGGCCGGUUAAAGGUCCUGGAAAUGUAUCUACCCCCGGGUUGACUUAUAGUCCAGGGCGUAAUGCGGCCCGCCCAGACCGAGGAACGCGCUUCGGCUCGGAUGCUGGCGUAAUGGUUGUAAGCGGCCCGUCUUGAAACACGGACCAAGGAGUCUAACAUCUAUGCGAGUGUUAGGGUGUCAAACCCCGACGCGGAAUGAAAGUGAACGGAGGUAAGAGCCCCUCCAGGGCGCAUUAUCGACCGAUCCUGAUGUCUUCGGAUGGAUUUGAGUAAGAGCAUAGCUGUUGGGACCCGAAAGAUGGUGAACUAUGCCUGAAUAGGGUGAAGCCAGAGGAAACUCUGGUGGAGGCUCGCAGCGGUUCUGACGUGCAAAUCGAUCGUCAAAUUUGGGUAUAGGGGCGAAAGACCAAUCGAACCAUCUGGUAGCUGGUUCCUGUCGAAGUUUCCCUCAGGAUAGCAGUAACGUUUUCAGUUUUAUGAGGUAAAGCGAAUGAUUAGAGGCCUUGGGGUUGAAACAACCUUAACCUAUUCUCAAACUUUAAAUAUGUAAGAAGUCCUUGUUGCUUAGUUGAACGUGGACAUUCGAAUGUAUCGUUACUAGUGGGCCAUUUUUGGUAAGCAGAACUGGCGAUGCGGGAUGAACCGAACGUGAGGUUAAGGUGCCGGAAUAUACGCUCAUCAGACACCACAAAAGGUGUCAAUGCAUCCAGACAGCCGGACGGUGGCCAUGGAAGUCGGAAUCCGCUUAGGAGUGUGUAAUCGUGGGGUUGUUGCACACCAGAAGUUUCUCAGAAACUAGUUCUCCUCCCCGCGGAGAACGACGGCUCCAGUCCGCUGGGAAUUGUAUGUUACCACCAGCAAUGGCCUUUUUGGAAGGUACAUCUACAGACUAGAAAGAGCUGGCCGUGGUCAACCGAUGACCGCGGUGAAGAUAUAGCCGAUGAGGGUCCUUGACGGGACUCUUUACCUAGAACAACUCACCGGCCGAAUGCAUUGGCCCUGAAAAUGGAUGGCGCUUAAGCGUGUUACCUAUACCUCGCCGUUAAAGUUGUAAUGAUGCUUUAACGAGUAGGCAGGCGUGGAGGUUUGUGACGA
Molecule: ribosomal RNA, 1661 nt
Filed under: Endococcus fusigera
Lineage: Eukaryota; Fungi; Ascomycota; Dothideomycetes; Dothideales
Description: eukaryotic LSU rRNA
Rfam family: Eukaryotic large subunit ribosomal RNA
Source: RNAcentral